GACGAACGCUGGCGGCGUGCCUAAUACAUGCAAGUAGAACGCACAGUUUAUACCGUAGCUUGCUACACCAUACACUGUGAGUUGCGAACGGGUGAGUAACGCGUAGGUAACCUGCCUGGUAGCGGGGGAUAACUAUUGGAAACGAUAGCUAAUACCGCAUAAUAUUGAUUAUUGCAUGAUAAUUGAUUGAAAGAUGCUAUUGCAUCACUACCAGAUGGACCUGCGUUGUAUUAGCUAGUAGGUGAGGUAACGGCUCACCUAGGCGACGAUACAUAGCCGACCUGAGAGGGUGAUCGGCCACACUGGGACUGAGACACGGCCCAGACUCCUACGGGAGGCAGCAGUAGGGAAUCUUCGGCAAGGGACGAAAGUCUGACCGAGCAACGCCGCGUGAGUGAAGAAGGUUGUCGGAUCGUAAAGCUCUGUUGUAAGAGAAGAACGGGUGUGAGAGUGGAAAGUUCACACUGUGACGGUAUCUGACCAGAAAGGGACGGCUAACUACGUG
Molecule: ribosomal RNA, 505 nt
Filed under: uncultured bacterium
Lineage: Bacteria
Description: partial 16S ribosomal RNA
Rfam family: Bacterial small subunit ribosomal RNA
Source: RNAcentral